This 558-nucleotide ribosomal RNA is filed under the name uncultured bacterium. RNAcentral's name for it is "bacterial SSU rRNA". It matches the Rfam family "Bacterial small subunit ribosomal RNA", at positions 338 to 873 of the family's 1533-position model. The record is from RNAcentral.
CCUACGGGAGGCAGCAGUGGGGAAUUUUGGACAAUGGGCGCAAGCCUGAUCCAGCAAUGCCGCGUGAGUGAAGAAGGCCUUCGGGUUGUAAAGCUCUUUUGUCAGGGAAGAAACGGUGAGGGCUAAUAUCCCGUGCUAAUGACGGUACCUGAAGAAUAAGCACCGGCUAACUACGUGCCAGCAGCCGCGGUAAUACGUAGGGUGCAAGCGUUAAUCGGAAUUACUGGGCGUAAAGCGUGCGCAGGCGGUUUUGUAAGUCUGUCGUGAAAUCCCCGGGCUCAACCUGGGAAUUGCGAUGGAGACUGCAAGGCUAGAAUCUGGCAGAGGGGGGUAGAAUUCCACGUGUAGCAGUGAAAUGCGUAGAGAUGUGGAGGAACACCGAUGGCGAAGGCAGCCCCCUGGGUCAAGAUUGACGCUCAUGCGCAAAAGCGUGGGGAGCAAACACAGAGAUAUACCCUGGAUUCGACAGGCCUGAACGAGGUCUAAUAGUUGGCGGGGAAAAUUAAACUUUUAGCGCACAUCUCAAACUCUAAGGCGUGCCUGAUACUUAAUUGUCGA